CUGCAGCAGCACGUUGCCAUCUUUGGUCAGCUUUAUGUCUCCGGCCCCCGACACCAGCCUGCGGGCGACACGAAGCGGUGAAAGAAAACAGUGUCACUGCCUUGCCUCUGAUUUCACACCAAGAGAAACUCCGGACUGCUGCUUGUCCAAGCCCCUCCUCGGCUCUUGUCCCUUGCCCUCCCGUGCUGGCGCUCUGCACGGAGCGAGAUCAGCCCGUGCCGUUGUAUUUAUGUGACUGAAGGUCUCAGCUGAUCCCUUCUUUUCUUGUGCAGCCAAGAGGUUUGCAGCAGCAGCAACAGCCACAGCCAGUACAAUACUGUAAGUCACUGGGAACGUUUUUUUCUCUCAGUUUGGAAGGGGUUGGCGUUUGGCGUAUCAGAUCCAUAACACUUACCAUAUUUUUCUAGCACAGAAAAUGAAGAGUAUCUUCUGCUGGGGCUGUGACUCUGCUGCCCCGCAAGAUGCAGCAACAGUGUGGUGCCUGUUUUAUAACAGCAGCAUGAAUGAAUGAUGCAAUCAUGCAGGGGGGAAGCAUCAUCGUUUUGUCAGGACAGGCAAGAGGGGAUUGGAGAGUUGGGAGGUGUAUGUCAACAUCCAUCAGGUUCCCUCUACCCCUUUUCAACUACUUUUUAAUUAAGCACUGCUGUUCAGAUGUUAGUGUAUAGCUGCAAACAGUUCAUCUCUUGACUUGCAUACAGGUUUGUAUUGCUACCUUUAAAAACUGAACAGAAAACCAGGCAGUGUGAAGCAAGUGUAGUGAGGUUAAGGACCGAAUCUUUCCAUUCUCACACUGAAAACCACAGAAACUCACAAUUAAUGGAUGGAUGGGUUGAACUUUUAAAGAGUAGUACUUGCAGAUAUAAGCAACAGUCUCAAUUUGCUUAUAUAAAACUAAUCUGUCUAAAUGUAUAGCCUUUCCUCUAAAGCUUUCAAAACAUAUUGCUAAUACUGAGAAUUAAAUGUCAGCAUAGAAAAGCUGUAUCAUUAUCUUAUUCCCAUUUUACAGACAUAGGACUAGAAACAAUGCGGAUUAAGUGGUUUGUUUAAACUAAUCCCAUGGAAACACUCCUGUGAACAUUCUUACAAGCAGGACCACUCCUGUAGCGGGAACAGGUCCUGAGAAAAAUUUCAAGAACUAUUUUCUCCAAAUCCCUUACUCUAAGCAGCAGUUUUCCUGCAAUGCAACAGAAACAGUUUAAUGUGGUUGCCUUUCUGUUAAUCUCACUGCGUGUUCAAUGCAACGUUCUCCUGCUGCAGGAAUGUAUCUUGGAGUGUAUCUCAGUGAAGUGCUCACUCUCACCUUGUUAAAUGGGAAAGCGAAUCAGAAUCAAAACACCAGAAACUGUUUGCAAACUAGGAUAUUCCUGAGCGAGCUGUUAAAAAAGGUAUUUUAGGUAAUAUUUCAUUAGGAUUCACUUAACCUUCAUUUUUUCACAGCAAUAAAUGUGAACAUAAUGCAAAGUAGCAGUGCAGCAGCACUUCUGAAAGCCAAAACAUGAUAAGUGAAGUCUAGUCACAGUGAGGAUUUUGAGAUCUUGUCAAGAUCUCAUCAAAAUAUACCAGCCCCAGAACACCUGGAGUUCCGAGUACCAUUUACUUGUUCCUUUUGCAUUACAUGUAGCAGAUAUUGCAGAUGUUCCAGUUUUUCACAGUGCGGCAAGUGCCCUUCUUUCAAGGGUCAGCAAACAGAAAAGAUUUCAGUUGUUUUCCUUUGGCAUGUGGCCUUACAUAAUUCCCGUGCUUGCUUCUGUGA
This is a long non-coding RNA of Grus americana (Whooping crane), 1753 nucleotides long. RefSeq lists it as uncharacterized. NCBI's taxonomy places the organism in Eukaryota, Metazoa, Chordata, Aves, Gruiformes, Gruidae. The record is from RefSeq and is a predicted model, not a curated record. The transcript has 3 exons.